Molecule: long non-coding RNA, 282 nt
Filed under: Coffea arabica (coffee)
Lineage: Eukaryota; Viridiplantae; Streptophyta; Magnoliopsida; Gentianales; Rubiaceae
Description: long non-coding RNA (CARA_LNC002471)
Source: RNAcentral
AUCAUUUGAUACCCACCAAUUUUCAAAUAUCAUGUCACCCAUCUCUCUCAUUUCAGGAAAAUAGCUUUUUAAGAAGAGCUCAGUAAUAAAAAUUCCAUCCAACAAAAUCACUUCGGAUAAUUUAAAGGGAUUUCGGAUAUAGGUAUCUUCAUAACACCCACAUACAUUCUUUUCCUGACUAUGGACAUAUUCUGCCAAAAGUUCUAAUGGAACUUUAAAGGUGUGCAGGAAAUUGUUUAGAUACUUUAAUUUGUAUUCUUCCAUGGCUUUCAACUGGACAUC